CAGUCGCCGCGGGAAUACGGAGGGUGCAAGCGUUAAUCGGAAUUACUGGGCGUAAAGCGCACGCAGGCGGUCUGUUAAGUCAGAUGUGAAAUCCCCGAGCUUAACUUGGGAACUGCAUUUGAAACUGGCAAGCUAGAGUCUUGUAGAGGGGGGUAGAAUUCCAGGUGUAGCGGUGAAAUGCGUAGAGAUCUGGAGGAAUACCGGUGGCGAAGGCGGCCCCCUGGACAAAGACUGACGCUCAGGUGCGAAAGCGUGGGGAGCAAACAGGAUUAGAUACCCCGGUAGUCCCUGUCUCUUAUAC
This 301-nucleotide ribosomal RNA is filed under the name uncultured bacterium. Its description in RNAcentral is "partial 16S ribosomal RNA". It matches the Rfam family "Bacterial small subunit ribosomal RNA", at positions 509 to 807 of the family's 1533-position model. The record is from RNAcentral.